This 647-nucleotide ribosomal RNA is filed under the name uncultured bacterium. RNAcentral describes it as "bacterial SSU rRNA". It matches the Rfam family "Bacterial small subunit ribosomal RNA", at positions 847 to 1503 of the family's 1533-position model. The record is from RNAcentral.
CCAAGCGAAAGCGUUAAGCAUCCCACUUGGGGAGUACGCCGGCAACGGUGAAACUCAAAGGAAUUGACGGGGGCCCGCACAAGCGGAGGAACAUGUGGUUUAAUUCGAUGAUACGCGAGGAACCUUACCCGGGCUUGAAUUGCAGAGGAAAGAUCCAGAGAUGGUGAUGCCCUUCGGGGUCUCUGUGAAGGUGCUGCAUGGUUGUCGUCAGCUCGUGCCGUGAGGUGUCGGCUUAAGUGCCAUAACGAGCGCAACCCCUUUCCCUAGUUGCCAUCGGUUUUGGCCGGGCACUCUGGGGACACUGCCUCCGCAAGGAGUGAGGAAGGUGGGGAUGACGUCAAAUCAGCACGGCCCUUACGUCCGGGGCUACACACGUGUUACAAUGGGUGAUACAGAGGGCCGGCCGCUGGCAACAUCGGUCCAAUCCUUAAAGUCAUCCUCAGUUCGGACUGGGGUCUGCAACCCGACCCCACGAAGCUGGAUUCGCUAGUAAUCGCGCAUCAGCCAUGGCGCGGUGAAUACGUUCCCGGGCCUUGUACACACCGCCCGUCAAGCCAUGAAAGCCGGGGGCGCCUGAAGUCCGUGACCGCGAGGGUCGGCCUAGGGUGAAACCGGUGAUUGGGGCUAAGUCGUAACAAGGUAACCGU